This 302-nucleotide signal recognition particle RNA is filed under the name Cebus imitator (Panamanian white-faced capuchin). Its description in RNAcentral is "Metazoan signal recognition particle RNA (ENSCCAG00000013713.1)". It matches the Rfam family "Metazoan signal recognition particle RNA". From Rfam's summary of the family: The signal recognition particle (SRP) is a universally conserved ribonucleoprotein. Lineage: Eukaryota; Metazoa; Chordata; Mammalia; Primates; Cebidae. The record is from RNAcentral.
GCCAGGCAUGGUGGCACAUGCCUGUAUUGCUAGCUGCUUGGGAGGCUGAGGCAGGAGGAUCACUUGAGCAUAGGAGUUCUGGGCUGUAGUGCGCCAUGCCGAUUGGGUAUUGCAUUAAGCUCUACAUCGAUAUAGUGACCUCUUGGGGGUGAGGGACCACCAUGUUGCCUAAGGAGGGAUGAACCAGCCUAAGUUGGAAAGGGAGCAGGUCAAAACUCCUGUGUUGAUCAGUAGUGGGAUUUUGCCUAUUAAUAGCCACUGUGCACUGUCUUGCCUGGGGAAUAUAGCAAGAUCUUGUCUCU